ACCACAAGAGCAAGUUAUACAACUUUAUUCUUGAAAAUGUUAGAGACUGAGACUUGGAGUCAAAGUCAACAGACACGCUUGCAUGGACAUGAAGGAUGUAAAGAACUAGAGUAUUAUAACUGAAAGCAUUUUGUCUGGAUUUGUGUAUGGAAACAGAAGGAUUUAGUAUUGGUAUCCUGAAUUUUUGUCAACUUCUAGCCAAGAUCCUGUACUUAAGCUGAAUGUGGAGGACAGAUGUACACACAGUACUAGUAUAGAGGGUAUUAUCUCGGUACCUUAAAACUCCAAAUGACAGGGAGAAGAAGAAAACUGCAUAUUUCCGAUGUAUCUUCACAGCAACAUGACCCAAAGCACUACCAUUAAAGGAUUUGAUUUGACAUUAAGGAAGUAAAAAAAUGAAGGCAUUAGUCAUAAAGAAAAUUAAAGAACUUUAUGUCUGAAUAUUAUAUCAACAAUACCAUAGAUCUAAAGAUGGAUUAUUUUGCCUUAUAAUUUAUAUUAAUGCAUGUACAUGUAAUUUUAUUCUUUUUAUGUAUACAAUCAUGUAGUGUUACCAUUUUUCACAAAGCUUAAAAAGUUAUGUAGGGCCACACCAAUUUAAUUUCUUGUUCGUUGGACAUUUGAUUUAAAAAAAGUACAAGCAGUUAAAUGAUAAUAUUAUUACUCUUUGCUGGGCAAUUUUUUAGGCGGAGCGUGAAAAUUUGAGCGGACAAUUAU
Long non-coding RNA from Saccostrea cuccullata (small rock oyster), 717 nucleotides. RefSeq lists it as uncharacterized. The record is from RefSeq and is a predicted model, not a curated record. NCBI's taxonomy places the organism in Eukaryota, Metazoa, Mollusca, Bivalvia, Ostreida, Ostreidae. The transcript is spliced from 3 exons.